GAUGCCAUGUAUUUUUCGGCCAUAUUCAUGGAGGAGCAAGGAGGAUGAGUACCAUAGCAUCUAUUCCAUUACAUCCAUUCACCAUCAUUCUAUCUUAGCCAAAUUCCAAACCUUUUGUUUCCAAUUCAACCAAACACUCCCUAUUACCCAAAAGUCCACCAUCAUCAUCACUUCAAUAUCUAUCAUGUGUUAGGCUUAAUCACCAUCCCUCACUCAUCAUUUCCUACUCUAGCCUACACCAUCACUCCCAUACUCUUUUCCUUUUUUUUUUUGAGAUCUAUUACUACUCUUAUACUCAACUUUUUUGCUCAAUUCAAAAACCUAGCUGCUAUCUUGACUUCACAACACCAUUUUCACAUCCCUUGCCAUCUAUUUAGGCACCUAUUCUUCAUAAGGAAGACACAUCACCCACACUUAGCCAUUACGUACAUCUUCUUCUCUCUCUAUUCUCUACACAAUCCACUAGCAUCUCCUCCACAAACCUCCAUCACCACCACCUUCAAUCCAUAACCUCCAUUACCACCACCACCAAAUUCAUCAUUCUAUUAACCCAUUUUAUUUCAUAUACAUAAAGCUUCACCACUCCACCAUUUCACCACUAGAUCAUCUCUAUAUCACAUAUUCCAUCAUCAAGCUUUGAAGAAGAAGGAGAGGAGUCUAGCAUUACUUGAGGAAUCAUCAUCACAAUCACCAUUAGCAUCAUGUCAAUGCUUUCAUGAGUUCAUCUACACCAUCCUCAAGUUGAUCAUCACUAGUCACUUCUCUAUCCCUACUUUUUAGUUUGAUGUUUAUAAACAUGUUGAAGCUUAUGUAUUUGAUUAUGAGUGAGUAGUUAGUUUGUUGAGGCUAGGGUUGAAAGCCCUAGCCAAUCUUGUAUGACUUUGAUGUAAAUAUUAUGUGUGAUACACUUUUCAUUAACACCUUAACAUGCUAGUUUUGUUGAACUUCAGGUACGGUUGGUCCAAAUUACAUUUUAGGCUCAUUGUUACUGUUUUGUUGAACUUCAGUAUCCUUGCUGGGUUUGGAAUCAGGUCAGAGGAAGAAGAGGGUUGCUAGCUACAAGGUGUACACUGUGGAGGGAAGCUGAAAGGGACUCUCAGGAAGAGCUAAUAUGGACUGCUUUUAAGGAGGAGAUGGAGGUGUCAGAGAGGCUGGAGAGGGUGCAAAAGGCAUUGGAGAAUGCUGUGGAGGAUAUGGACUUGAUGAUGAGGCUUUUGGAUGAGCUUGGUAAGCUUCAGAAUCAGGCGCAAGAGUGUGACUUGAGUAUGGUGGACGCCAACAUUAGUAAGUUGAUGCCGGAACUUGGGUUUGCGCCUGAGGAUGGGGAUAGGUGGGUGGCUUCAUUUAGUAGUGGUUGGCAGAUGAGGAUGUCACUUGGGAAGAUUUUGCUUCAGAUUUCCUCUCUAGAUCUGCCAAAUUUGUAGCAGAAUGUAACCACCGACUAAUUGCUUUGAUUUCGAACCUGUCAAGUUUACCAGGCUAUCUACAAACCAAUCGUUCCUCUCAAGAUCCUUCCUCUGGGUGAGAAACAAAAGGAAAAGUGAUGGGACCAAAACCAAUGUUGAGAGGAACAAAGAGGAGUACAAGUGAACAGGCAAUUGGGCAAAGAAGAAAUAAAUCUAUGUUGUAACAUUUUAAUAUUUUAUUUAUUAUUGAAAUUAAAUUUGGGUGAAUUUAUUUGUGUGUUUAAAUUCUGAAUUUAUUUGUGUGUUUAAAUUCUGAAUUUAUUUUGAAUUUUAUUUUGUAACUCAUGGUGUUUUAUUUUGAUUUAUUUUGGGUUUUAAUUUUUGUAACUUAUGGCAUUUGGUUACUACCCUAUUAAUUGUAGGGAGUGUCCUAAGAGCCUAUAAAUAGCACCAUUUGUUGCAUGCUAAAAUAUAUCAAACUUUUACUCAACUAUUCACCCAUCAACCUUCUUUCCAAAAUCCCCCAAAAGAGUCUUGUGUGUUUUUUGGCCAGAGAAAGGUGUUCUUUUGGUGGAGCUUUGGGUUCCUCCAAUUUGUGCAGAUUGGUGUGAGCCAUACAACUUGUUGUUGGGCUGUUGUAUCCUGGAAGGGACAAGUCAAGAGAUUUCUGGUGCACCGGCAUUGUUCCGCAGAGGGUUUGAAUCUCCUUAAAGAGAGCGAGAUA
This is an RNA transcript of Rosa rugosa (rugosa rose), 2130 nucleotides long. It is a transcript of the gene named ABC transporter F family member 5-like, with no coding region annotated. The record is from RefSeq and is a predicted model, not a curated record. Lineage: Eukaryota; Viridiplantae; Streptophyta; Magnoliopsida; Rosales; Rosaceae. The transcript has 4 exons.